AGCUCCAAUAGCGUAUAUUUAAGUUGUUGCAGUUAAAAAGCUCGUAGUUGGAUUUCGGGUGGGCGAUGUCGGUCCGCCGUUUCGGUGUGCACUGGCAGCGCCUACCUUGCUGCCGGGGACGGGCUCCUGGGCUUAACUGUCCGGGACCCGGAGUCGGCGAGGUUACUUUGAGUAAAUUAGAGUGUUCAAAGCAGGCCUACGCUCUGAAUACAUUAGCAUGGAAUAACACGAUAGGACUCUGGCCUAUCUUGUUGGUCUGUGGGACCGGAGUAAUGAUUAAGAGGGACAGUCGGGGGCAUUCGUAUUUCAUUGUCAGAGGUGAAAUUCUUGGAUUUAUGAAAGACGAACUUCUGCGAAAGCAUUUGCCAAGGAUGUUUUCA
This 380-nucleotide ribosomal RNA is filed under the name uncultured eukaryote. RNAcentral's name for it is "SSU rRNA". It matches the Rfam family "Eukaryotic small subunit ribosomal RNA", at positions 587 to 972 of the family's 1831-position model. The record is from RNAcentral.